UUCUGCAGAAUUUUAACUGUGUGUUUUAAGGGUGCUAUAUAUCCGACCCUCGCUAUUGAAAAACUAUUUGCAACUUCUGCUUGCAUCUUAUUUUCUGCAUAAUUUGCUGUCUUUGUAAACAAAAUGCAAUCUGGUGGUGACCUUGUUUCUCGCCACAUGCUUGGCUAAUUAAUUAUGCAACAUUUUGGGGGUCAAGUUACUGGUGCGGGCAUAUGGCUAGAUGGUAGUAUGUGCUGGAUAUAUAUAUUUAAUUUAUUGCAUUUAAUUGAAAUGCAUUUCGUAUGAGUUGCUGAGCAUCUGCCAGAGUGUUUUCAUUGUUCUCCGUUUGUUGCUUAGCUGAUAAAGUUGUCUGCACUUAUGGUUGGGUGUUUAAUUAUUUUGCAGAUGGUUGUUUUCAUGCAAAUCUCUGAUGCAUUUGCAGAACUUUCGCUGCAGUUGAAUAUCUCUUUAAGCAAAAGUGUGGAUUCCUUGAACGGUUCUAGGAAUCUCUUUGGUAUUUGUACAAACUUUUGUUCCAACUUCUUCUUCUUCGUUCUAGCACCAACGAAUUUUAAUCAUUAAUUUUCAGACACGUUGAACAUCUUGUCUUAGUUUUCCGACCAUCUUUUUUGUCUUCAUCAUCAUUUUUAGCUCAUUGUAAAUCACUUUAGCUGCUCGUUUGAAUUUUCUCGCAUAAAAAACCCAUUGAUUACUUUAUCUUGAGUUGCUUUUCAUUUGCUCACUGUUUGAGCAUCGCAGCUCCUUCAUCCGGCUUCCGACAUCCUCUUCUGCGAGCUUUCAGCCCGAUGCAUUUCUUAAUAAAUCUUUAAUCCUUCUAAGACUCGGCUUCCAAUUUACCUGUGCGCUGCCUUUUUCAUUUAUCCUACUCUCGUGUCUUUCGCCGUCUUUUUGUGUAUUUUAUUCGCUCAUUAAAUUGGAAAAUUCGAUCAAUCGUAAAAUUCAUUUACGAUUUGCACGCUCAGCAGCUGGACAGAUGAUGGUGAAUCAAAUUGGAAUUGUUUGAAUUUAAAUUCGAUUGAUGCUGCUGUGCCUUCAGUAUUCGCUGUCAUUUGCACCUUUUACGAUACCUUUAAAGUGGUACAAUUUUUCAUUAAGCGCAUUCUGUUUGCUGUAAACAUAAAAUUUAACGUCGCGCAUUUUCUCUAUACCUGGAAUGUGCGUUUUCCCAAACCAGUUUGUGCGAAAUGAAAAUGGGGGAGCUUGCGUCGUCCAUUAAAAGGGGAGCCUCAAAUGCCAAUAAGCCUCUUGGCAUAACUGAGUGCUCUCAGUCGCUCUGUGUGUUUUGCAGCCCUUUGUCGUUUGUGUUUCGCAGUCGUCCUGGAUGGCAAAAAGUUCCAGUUGCCAGCGUGUUAAUUUGUGCGUAAACGUUGCACUAACGAAGCGGAAGCUUUUGGCCCCACGAAUAAUAGAGGGUUAAGAGGCAGGGGGGUUUUUCCGGGGGCGACGGUCCUGUUGGGAUAGAGCGCGUAAUUGAAAUGGCAUUUAAAUGUUUCGGGGGACCUGUGUGACGGCGACGAGCGUGCAUUUUCCAUGCGAGGGAAUGUCAUUCAAAAUUAUGGCGGUUGAUUAAAGGAUGAGCGGGGGUGAAGAGCUGCAGCGCGGGAUGCAUGCCCGUGUCAAAGGUCACAGGCGUUUUGUAGCCAUUAAAACGACGCCGGAGCUUGGUAGUAAAACUUAUUUUAAGGCUUUUGAUUAAUAACGAAGUUCUUGGAAAAUAAGUACGUGUCCUAAA
Long non-coding RNA from Drosophila simulans, 1732 nucleotides. RefSeq lists it as uncharacterized. NCBI's taxonomy places the organism in Eukaryota, Metazoa, Arthropoda, Insecta, Diptera, Drosophilidae. The transcript is spliced from 3 exons. The record is from RefSeq and is a predicted model, not a curated record.